RNAcentral lists this ribosomal RNA (253 nucleotides) under uncultured bacterium. Its description in RNAcentral is "partial 16S ribosomal RNA". It matches the Rfam family "Bacterial small subunit ribosomal RNA", at positions 524 to 776 of the family's 1533-position model. The record is from RNAcentral.
UACAGAGGGUGCGAGCGUUAAUCGGAGUUACUGGGCGUAAAGGGCGCGUAGGCGGUCAUUUAAGUUAGAUGUGAAAUCCCUGGGCUUAACCUAGGAAUGGCAUGUAAGACUGGGUGACUGGAGUACAGUAGAGGGUGGCGGAAUUUCCGGUGUAGCGGUGAAAUGCGUAGAGAUCGGAAGGAACACCAGUGGCGAAGGCGGCCACCUGGACUGAUACUGACGCUGAGGCGCGAGAGCGUGGGUAGCAAACAGG